This 486-nucleotide ribosomal RNA is filed under the name uncultured bacterium. RNAcentral describes it as "partial 16S ribosomal RNA". It matches the Rfam family "Bacterial small subunit ribosomal RNA", at positions 29 to 507 of the family's 1533-position model. The record is from RNAcentral.
AUUGAACGCUGGCGGCAUGCCUUACACAUGCAAGUCGAACGGCAGCACGGGUGCUUGCACCUGGUGGCGAGUGGCGAACGGGUGAGUAAUACAUCGGAACAUGUCCUGUAGUGGGGGAAAGCCCGGCGAAAGCCGGAUUAAUACCGCAUACGAUCCACGGGUGAAAGCGGGGGAGCUGCGGGCCUCGCGCGAUAGGGUUGGCCGAUGGCUGAUUAGCUAGUGGGUGGGGUAAAGGCCUACCACGGCGACGAUCAGGAGCUGGGCUGAGAGGACGACCAGCCACACGGGAACUGAGACACGGCCCAGACUCCUACGGGAGGCAGCAGUGGGGAAUUUUGGACAAUGGGCGAAAGCCUGAUCCAGCAAUGCCGCGUGUGUGAAGAAGGCCUUCGGGUUGUAAAGCACUUUUGUCCGGAAAGAAAUCCUUGACUCUAAUACAGUCGGGGGAUGACGGUACCGGAAGAAUAAGCACCGGCUAACUACGUG